RNAcentral lists this ribosomal RNA (771 nucleotides) under uncultured Neocallimastigales. Its description in RNAcentral is "partial large subunit ribosomal RNA". The stretch from base 4 to 661 matches the Rfam family "Eukaryotic large subunit ribosomal RNA", at positions 24 to 664 of the family's 3401-position model. The record is from RNAcentral. Lineage: Eukaryota; Fungi; Neocallimastigomycota; Neocallimastigomycetes; Neocallimastigales.
GUACACGCUGUGACUAGCAUAUCAAUAAGCGGAGGAAAAGAAACUAACAAGGAUUCCCUCAGUAACGGCGAGUGAAGCGGGAAGAGCUCAAAUUUGAAAUCUUGCAAGGUUUACCUUUACGAAUUGUAGUUUAAAGAAGUGUUUUCUGUUACGAUCGUAAUAUAAGUUCUUUGGAAUAGGACAUCACAGAGGGUGAGAAUCCCGUCUAUGAUUGCGAUUUGUAGCUUUGUGAUACACUUUCAAAGAGUCGGGUUGUUUGGGAAUGCAGCCCAAAACGGGAGGUAAAUUUCUUCUAAGGCUAAAUAUUGGCGAGAGACCGAUAGCGAACAAGUACCGUGAGGGAAAGAUGAAAAGAACUUUGAAAAGAGAGUUAAAUAGUACGUGAAAUUGUCAAAAGGGAAGCGUUUAACACCAGUGUUGUUUUCUGAAAAUCAACCUCUGUUAGCUUUAUGCAUGUUUGUUUAGACCUAAUCAGCUAUCUUUCAUGUUCUAUUGUUUGCAGUGGUGCACUUCUCAGUUUACAGGUCAACAUCAGUUUUUUUUACCGUAAAAAAGUUAAAGAAAGGUAGCUCAUGGCUCCGGUCGUGAGUGUUAUAGUCUUUUUCCUAUGCGGUAGGAGAGACUGAGGUCUGCAGUGUAGGCUAUUUGGCUAGAUACUCAGGUGCUAUGUGAUACCAUUUCAUAAACAACUUGUUGAUUAUGUUUUGUCUAUUGCAUACUCGCUUGUACUAUCAUACCUACGCUUAGGAUGUUGAUUAGCGACAUACGCAC